RNAcentral lists this transfer RNA (56 nucleotides) under Eutreptiella gymnastica. Lineage: Eukaryota; Euglenozoa; Euglenophyceae; Eutreptiales; Eutreptiaceae. The record is from RNAcentral.
UGGCAAAGUGGUUAAUGCACACGGCUCGUGAGCUGUGAGUCCCGGGUUCGAAUCCC